AUUGAACGCUGGCGGCAGGCCUAACACAUGCAAGUCGAACGGUAACAGGAAGAAGCUUGCUUCUUUGCUGACGAGUGGCGGCCGGGUGAGUAAUGUCUGGGAAACUGCCUGAUGGAGGGGGAUAACUACUGGAAACGGUAGCUAAUACCGCAUAACGUCGCAAGACCAAAGAGGGGGACCUUCGGGCCUUUUGCCAUCGGAUGUGCCCAGAUGGGAUUAGCUAGUAGGUGGGGUACCGGCUCACCUAGGCGACGAUCCCUAGCUGGUCUGAGAGGAUGACCAGCCACACUGGAACUGAGACACGGUCCAGACUCCUACGGGAGGCAGCAGUGGGGAAUAUUGCACAAUGGGCGCAAGCCUGAUGCAGCCAUGCCGCGUGUAUGAAGAAGGCCUUCGGGUUGUAAAGUACUUUCAGCGGGGAGGAAGGGAGUAAAGUUAAUACCUUUGCUCAUUGACGUUACCCGCAGAAGAAGCACCGGCUAACUCCGUG
Molecule: ribosomal RNA, 490 nt
Filed under: uncultured bacterium
Lineage: Bacteria
Description: partial 16S ribosomal RNA
Rfam family: Bacterial small subunit ribosomal RNA
Source: RNAcentral